UACGUAGGGGGCGAGCGUUGUCCGGAAUUACUGGGCGUAAAGCGCACGCAGGCGGUUUGUUAAGUCAGAUGUGAAAUCCCCGGGCUUAACCUGGGAACUGCAACUGAUACUGGCAAGCUUGAGUCUCGUAGAGGGGGGUAGAAUUCCAGAUGUAGCGGUGAAAUGCGUAGAGAUCUGGAGGAAUACCGGUUGCGAAGGCGGCCCCCUGGACGAAGACUGACGCUCAGGCGCGAAAGCGUGGGGAGCAAACAGG
RNAcentral lists this ribosomal RNA (253 nucleotides) under uncultured bacterium. Its description in RNAcentral is "partial 16S ribosomal RNA". It matches the Rfam family "Bacterial small subunit ribosomal RNA", at positions 524 to 776 of the family's 1533-position model. The record is from RNAcentral.